RNAcentral lists this long non-coding RNA (293 nucleotides) under Carica papaya (papaya). RNAcentral's name for it is "long non-coding RNA (CPAP_LNC009387)". The record is from RNAcentral. Lineage: Eukaryota; Viridiplantae; Streptophyta; Magnoliopsida; Brassicales; Caricaceae.
UUUGGUAGAAUAUGAACUUUUAGGUGGAAUAGUAUAUGACAAUUAAAUGUACGGUCGACGAUCAAAAAAAUUCAUACAGUAAGAGGAUUUAAAAAUCAUUCCAAUAAGACAAGAGCAAGUCCAAAGAUUCAAGGCUCAGUUUUGUUGUAAUUUGCAGGGGAUAAUGACAUAAUUAAGCACAUUUUACAAUGCAUAAAUUUCCAAAAACGUUAUUGGAUAUUUCACCUAUUAGGAUAAUGCUAUUAUAAAUCAUUACGUAUCCUUCAAUGAUUGGCUUAUGAGGAUUUCUAGUG